CCUANGGGCGGCUGCAGUCGAGAAUCUUCCGCAAUGGACGAAAGUCUGACGGAGCGACGCCGCGUGAUUGAUGAAGACCCUAUGGGUCGUAAAGAUCUUUUAUGAGGGAAGAAGUUUAUUGACGGUACCUCAUGAAUAAGAGGCUCCUAAUCUCGUGCCAGCAGGAGCGGUAAUACGAGAGCCUCGAGCGUUAUCCGGAAUUAUUGGGCGUAAAGGGUGAGUAGGCGGCGCUGUUAGUCGGGUGUUAAAUCUCUGGGCUUAACCUAGAAAUCGCAUUCGAAACGGCAGUGCUUGAGAAAAGAAGGGGUGCAUAGAACUCAUGGUGUAGGGGUGAAAUCCGUUGAUAUCAUGGGGAAUACCAAAAGCGAAGGCAGUGCACUGGUCUUUAUCUGACGCUGAAUCACGAAAGCGUGGGUCGCGAAUGGGAUUAGAUACACCGNUANUC
RNAcentral lists this ribosomal RNA (445 nucleotides) under uncultured bacterium. RNAcentral's name for it is "bacterial SSU rRNA". It matches the Rfam family "Bacterial small subunit ribosomal RNA", at positions 338 to 795 of the family's 1533-position model. The record is from RNAcentral.